AUUAUGUCCUGCAGAAUGUAAAUACAACUCAAGUGAUAGCGUAAAGACAAUAAUAUGCAUAAGCUAGAGUUGAAACAUCAGAUUAAUAGAUUAUUGACCAAGUUAAUGGACCUUAUUUAUAUCAAUGUGUCUUUGAAUGUUUUGAGUACUAACAUUAGGCAAGCAUCUGGAUACAAUUGAAAUGUUUGCGUAUUGAGCUUAGGUUAAUAAGGAUGACUGGUGGCUUUGGAGUUUGGAAAAUUCAAAAUCAUUUUUGGUUCGUAGCGUCUACAAUUAUAUAACAGCUCAAAUUCCUACAUAUAUUGUGGUGCCCGUUUCAUCCCUUUGGCACAAGGAUGUUCCCUUAAAAGUGGUGUUGUUUGCUUGGCGAGUGUUCCGUGAUAGGUUGCCCAUAAAGGACAAUCUAUUUCGUCGCGGCGUUAUCGAUCAAAACUCGUUGGAGUGCGUGGCUGCUUGUGACUCAUCAGAGUCAUCCGUUCAUUUAUUGUUACACUGUAAUGUUUUUGAAUCUGUCUGGCAUCAAAUUUAUAAAUGGUUGGGCAUUUAUGUGGUUGCUCCUCAACACUGGCCGGAGAAUUUUGUUCAAUUUAGUUUUAUUGGUGGCACAUCAAAGGUGUGUCAAUCCAUCUUACAGGUUAUAUGAUUUGCGACUAUAUGGGAAAUAUGGAAAGAAAGAAACAACAGGUUGUUCACAGACAAAAUUUAUACGGUAACUCAGGUGGUCGACAAGAUUAAGUCCCUCACUUUUAUGUGGUUGAAGGUGAAGUUUAAUACUCCUCCUUUCAAUUUUCAUGGAUGGUGGCUUAGUCCGUUCACCAUGCUUGGAAUAGGCUAAUAGCUUUUUGUUUCUUCUGUUUUCUGGUGAUUAGUAAAUUUUGUAAAUAAUGUUUGGAUUUACUGUUUUUUCCUAUGUACA
Medicago truncatula (barrel medic) is the source of this 916-nucleotide long non-coding RNA. RefSeq lists it as uncharacterized. Lineage: Eukaryota; Viridiplantae; Streptophyta; Magnoliopsida; Fabales; Fabaceae. The record is from RefSeq and is a predicted model, not a curated record. The transcript is spliced from 2 exons.